This is a non-coding RNA of Pelobates cultripes (western spadefoot toad), 206 nucleotides long. NCBI's taxonomy places the organism in Eukaryota, Metazoa, Chordata, Amphibia, Anura, Pelobatidae. The record is from the annotation of a GenBank genome assembly.
UCAAUGUAGGGUAAUAACUGCUUGAUCCAAGGAUAAAUCUGACUGCCAUUCUGGGGUCAAGAAGGAAUUUUUUUUCCUAGCUUGUUGCAAAAUUGUGCUUCAAACUGGGUUUUUUUUGCCUUCUUUUGGAUCAACAGCAAAAAACAAAUGUGAGGUAGGCUGAACUUGAUGGACGCAAGUCUCUUUUCAGCUAUGUAACUAUGUAA